AGUGGGGAAUAUUGGACAAUGGGCGCAAGCCUGAUCCAGCCAUGCCGCGUGAGUGAUGAAGGCCCUAGGGUUGUAAAGCUCUUUCACCGGUGAAGAUAAUGACGGUAACCGGAGAAGAAGCCCCGGCUAACUUCGUGCCAGCAGCCGCGGUAAUACGAAGGGGGCUAGCGUUGUUCGGAAUUACUGGGCGUAAAGCGCACGUAGGCGGACAUUUAAGUCAGGGGUGAAAUCCCGGGGCUCAACCCCGGAACUGCCUUUGAUACUGGGUGUCUGGAGUAUGGAAGAGGUGAGUGGAAUUCCGAGUGUAGAGGUGAAAUUCGUAGAUAUUCGGAGGAACACCAGUGGCGAAGGCGGCUCACUGGUCCAUUACUGACGCUGAGGUGCGAAAGCGUGGGGAGCAAA
RNAcentral lists this ribosomal RNA (402 nucleotides) under uncultured Ensifer sp. Its description in RNAcentral is "bacterial SSU rRNA". It matches the Rfam family "Bacterial small subunit ribosomal RNA", at positions 353 to 772 of the family's 1533-position model. The record is from RNAcentral. Lineage: Bacteria; Pseudomonadati; Pseudomonadota; Alphaproteobacteria; Hyphomicrobiales; Rhizobiaceae.